Molecule: transfer RNA, 77 nt
Filed under: Candidatus Altimarinota bacterium
Lineage: Bacteria; Candidatus Altimarinota
Also listed under: 2 other names
Description: tRNA-Asp
Rfam family: tRNA
About the family: Transfer RNA (tRNA) molecules are approximately 80 nucleotides in length. Their secondary structure includes four short double-helical elements and three loops (D, anti-codon, and T loops).
Source: RNAcentral
GGGGGCGUAGCUCAGCUGGUUAGAGCGCCUCCCUGUCACGGAGGAGGUCGCGGGUUCGAGUCCCGUCGCUCCCGCCA